GGACGGGUUUAAUAAGAUUAAAAAAAAAAGAAAAAUUCAAAUACCACCUUUGUGGUUUCAUUUUUUUUUAUUUUAGUAGCUCGUGGCUUAAAGUAUAUCAAUUUAGCACCCCGUAGAUUUAUUUUUCUCUUUUUAUUAUUCUUUCCACUAAUUUUUUUUCGUUAAAUCAGUGACAAAGUUAAAACUAAAAGGUACUAAAAUAAAAAUACGAUAAACUUAGAUGGGGUAUCCGAAGUUUUUUGUAUAUAAUUUAACGUAAUGUUAACAAAGGAGCUGACGAAAGGAAAAAAAUGAAACUAUGGGAACUAAAUUGAUACACUUUAAACUACAGGGUAUUGAAGUGAAAAAGUGCGAAACCAAUAUUUGAAGUUUUUAGUAUCUUUACCAAAUAC
Molecule: long non-coding RNA, 392 nt
Filed under: Ananas comosus (pineapple)
Lineage: Eukaryota; Viridiplantae; Streptophyta; Magnoliopsida; Poales; Bromeliaceae
Description: long non-coding RNA (ACOM_LNC009336)
Source: RNAcentral